This 770-nucleotide non-coding RNA is filed under the name Charaxes kahruba. Lineage: Eukaryota; Metazoa; Arthropoda; Insecta; Lepidoptera; Nymphalidae. The record is from RNAcentral.
AAAAAAAUUUAUGUUUUUAAUAAUUUAUUAUGAAUUUAUUUUACAUAUAAAUUUUAGUGUUAAUUUUUAAUUAUUUAAAUAAUAUUUUAAUUUAGUAGUAGUAAUUAAUUUUAAAAAUUUAAGAAAUUAAGAUUUAGUAAUAUAAAAAUUAAUAACUAAUUUUGUGCCAGCAGUUGCGGUUAUACAAAAAUUAAAUUAAAUUAUUUCAGUAUAUAAUAAAUAAAUAAAUAUUAAAGUAAAUAUUAAAUUAUUGGGUGAAAUUUUAAUUUAAUUAAAUUUUAUUUAUUUUUUAUGAUUUAAUAAAUUUUAUUUUAAACUAGGAUUAGAUACCCUAUUAUUAAAAAUUUAAAUUAUUAUACUAAAAUAGUAAAUAUAAGAUAUUGAAACUUAAAUAAUAUGGCGGUAUUUUAGUUCAUUUAGAGGAAUCUGUCUAAUAAUUGAUAAUCCACGAGUAAAUUUACUUAAUUUAAAAUUUUAUAUAUCGUUGUUAAAAAAAUAUUUUUUAUUAAAAAUAAUAUUUAAAAAUUAAAAUAAAAAAUUAAUUCAGAUCAAGAUGUAGAGUAUAAUUAAGAAUAUGAUGGAUUACAAUAAAAAUAUUUAAAUGAAUAAUUAUUUGUAAAUUUAAUUUGAAGGUGGAUUUAAAUGUAAUUUUAUUUAAUUUAAUAAAAUGAUUAAAAAUUAAAAUAUGUACAUAUUGCCCGUCACUUUCAUUUUAAAAUUGAAAUAAGUCGUAACAAAGUAGAGGUACUGGAAAGUGUUUCUAGAAUGAA